This 292-nucleotide ribosomal RNA is filed under the name uncultured bacterium. RNAcentral describes it as "partial 16S ribosomal RNA". It matches the Rfam family "Bacterial small subunit ribosomal RNA", at positions 505 to 796 of the family's 1533-position model. The record is from RNAcentral.
GUGUCAGCAGCCGCGGUAAGACGGAGGGUGCUAGCGUUGUUCGGAAUUACUGGGCGUAAAGGGCGCGUAGGCGGCCACGGCAGUCGGGUGUGAAAGCCCGGGGCUCAACCCCGGAACGGCAUCCGAUACUCUGUGGCUCGAGACCGGAAGAGGUGGGUGGAAUACCCAGUGUAGAGGUGAAAUUCGUAGAUAUUGGGUGGAACACCGGUGGCGAAAGCGGCUCACUGGUCCGGUUCUGACGCUGAGGCGCGAAAGCGUGGGGAGCAAACAGGAUUAGAUACCCUGGUAGUCC